AAGCCUUUCAACAACUAAAAAUUUUUCGGUGAAAUCACAAGAAACGAUGGCAUUUUAUAUGAAUUUGCCACGCAUAGCAGAGGAGAGAUUGUACAUUGACGAGAAUGCAGAGUAUAAAUAUUUUCAAAGUGACCUUUCACAUGAAGAAUGGACGGUAAACAAUAUUUCGAAAACAAGGACUCCACUCAACAAUGAAACGAG
This is a long non-coding RNA of Saccostrea cuccullata (small rock oyster), 201 nucleotides long. RefSeq lists it as uncharacterized. The transcript has 3 exons. Lineage: Eukaryota; Metazoa; Mollusca; Bivalvia; Ostreida; Ostreidae. The record is from RefSeq and is a predicted model, not a curated record.